AUUGAACGCUGGCGGCAGGCCUAACACAUGCAGGUCGAACGGUAGCACAGGGAGCUUGCUCUUGGGUGACGAGUGGCGGACGGGUGAGUAAUGUCUGGGAAACUGCCCGAUGGAGGGGGAUAACUACUGGAAACGGUAGCUAAUACCGCAUAACGUCUUCGGACCAAAGUGGGGGACCUUCGGGCCUCACACCAUCGGAUGUGCCCAGAUGGGAUUAGCUAGUAGGUGGGGUAAUGGCUCACCUAGGCGACGAUCCCUAGCUGGUCUGAGAGGAUGACCAGCCACACUGGAACUGAGACACGGUCCAGACUCCUACGGGAGGCAGCAGUGGGGAAUAUUGCACAAUGGGCGCAAGCCUGAUGCAGCCAUGCCGCGUGUAUGAAGAAGGCCUUCGGGUUGUAAAGUACUUUCAGCGGGGAGGAAGGCGUUAAGGUUAAUAACCUUGGCGAUUGACGUUACCCGCAGAAGAAGCACCGGCUAACUCCGUGCCAGCCGCCGCGGUAA
RNAcentral lists this ribosomal RNA (504 nucleotides) under uncultured bacterium. RNAcentral's name for it is "partial 16S ribosomal RNA". It matches the Rfam family "Bacterial small subunit ribosomal RNA", at positions 30 to 523 of the family's 1533-position model. The record is from RNAcentral.